GACGAACGCUGGCGGCGUGCCUAAUACAUGCAAGUCGAACGCUUCUUUCCUCCCGAGUGCUUGCACUCAAUUGGAAAGAGGAGGUGCGGACGGGGGAGUAACACGUGGGUAACCUACCCAUCAGAGGGGGAUAACACUUGGAAACAGGUGCUAAUACCGCAUAACAGUUUAUGCCGCAUGGCAUAAGAGUGAAAGGCGCUUUCGGGUGUCGCUGAUGGAUGGACCCGCGGUGCAUUAGCUAGGUGGUGAGGUAACGGCUCACCAAGGCCACGAUGCAUAGCCGACCUGAGAGGGUGAUCGGCCACACUGGGACUGAGACACGGCCCAGACUCCUACGGGAGGCAGCAGUAGGGAAUCUUCGGCAAUGGACGAAAGUCUGACCGAGCAACGCCGCGUGAGUGAAGAAGGUUUUCGGAUCGUAAAACUCUGUUGUUAGAGAAGAACAAGGACGUUAGUAACUGAACGUCGCCUGACGGUAUCUAACCAGAAAGCCACGGCUAACUACGUG
Molecule: ribosomal RNA, 508 nt
Filed under: uncultured bacterium
Lineage: Bacteria
Description: partial 16S ribosomal RNA
Rfam family: Bacterial small subunit ribosomal RNA
Source: RNAcentral